This 752-nucleotide long non-coding RNA is filed under the name Elaeis guineensis (African oil palm). RNAcentral describes it as "long non-coding RNA (EGUI_LNC023814)". Lineage: Eukaryota; Viridiplantae; Streptophyta; Magnoliopsida; Arecales; Arecaceae. The record is from RNAcentral.
UGGGGUGACCUUCCUUUCCGGCUCGACGACCCCGACGACAUGGUCGUGUACGGCGCCCUCCGCGAUGCCUACUCCCAUGGUUGGAACCCCUCUCCCGAAGCCGGUAACGUCACCGCCCCUGCUGCCGUGGUCGUCAAAUCGGAGCCCGUGACCGAGCUGCCGGUGGCGACGCCUGCGAUCCAGGCGCAUCCGGCGGCUGCGGCGGCGGCGGCGGCGCCGACGAAGGGGAAGCACUACAGAGGGGUGAGGCAGCGGCCGUGGGGGAAGUUCGCGGCGGAGAUCAGGGAUCCGGCGAAGAACGGGGCGAGGGUAUGGCUGGGGACGUUCGAGACGGCGGAGGAGGCCGCCAUCGCCUACGACAAGGCGGCCUACCGGAUGCGCGGCUCCCGCGCGCUGCUCAACUUCCCGCUCCGGAUCGGGUCGUCGGAGGCCGCAGCGGCGCCGGCGCCGGCGAUGGCGUCACCCUCGAAGAAGCGGGCCUCGCCGGAGCCCUCUUCCACCUCUUCCUCUCCCCGCUCCCCAUCCUCCUCCUCGUCGUCGUCGGAGAAGGCGUCGCCUAAGAGGAGGAAGAGAGGGGAGGCCGCGGCAGCGGCGAUGGCGAUGCCACCGGUGGCGGCGACCUCCAUGCCUCCUCCUCCGGUUGUGGUUUCCGUUCCGGUCCAGGCGCAAGCCGGUCUGGGUUUCGCGAGCCGGCAGGAGGGUUUCCCGGUUGGUCCGGUCGUGCAACUGGCACCUGUCGGUCAGCUGUUGGU